UAAUUAUCAUCAUCACUCUCAACAACAACAACAUCAUCUUUACUUUUGAUUAUCUGGUGACCACCAAAAUUACCAACAGCUAAAGCUUCAUACAGUUAUCCACAUUGGUUUGUGCAAAUUUCCUAUCCACUGGUUUGGCUUUAUUCUUCCUGAUCUCCGUGCUUUCUGUUAGUGCUUGUUGAAGCAUGUUGUUGUUGACUAACCGUUGGUAAACAGCUCAAAAACAAACCAAACGAUCUCUGCAAUUCUACAUUUUCUCCUUCACUCUGUCUUUUUAUCUUUUUUGCCUCUCUUUUACAAUUUACUUUGUCACUUUGAUAAAACCACAUUGUCUCUUGUAUACUGUUGUCUACCAAAUGAUUGUUCAACAUAUUCAUUUCAAUCACUUUCGUCAGCUAAUCGUCAGUUGAAAAAUAUAAACAUCAUCUUGUUUCAUUAAUGUUUAUAAGGAUUGUUAACUUGAUUCGGGCUUCAUUCUGUUACCCAUAAUCUUGUGAAUUUGCCAAACCUUAACAUUUCUUCAACCAUUGUGAUCCAGAAGGUGUUUCCAUUAUAGACAACCUAAAAUUGUUGUUUACUCGUCUAUCGGUGUAUUUGGUCCUCUUUCGGAUGUCAGAUCGGAUCAAAAAGCUAGCAAACGCUUAAGGAGUUUCACUGUUAACACCAACACCAAGAGUAACAGUUAUCAUUUAGUCAUCACCAACAGAAAGGCAACACCAUAAAUUAUAAUCUAUUUUCCUCGCCAGUCUUUACUUUCUUCUGACAGUCUAUCUGCAAUCAUCACCAACCACUCAAAUACUCAAACCUCACCAAGCUGUUUUUUGUAAAGAUGAUCUGAAACUGAAAUAUCAUUAACGCUAUUAUCAUUCACAUUUGAAGGCGGUUUGAAUCUUUCAUAGCAAUCACAAUCAACAUCUCCACUCUCAGCAUCAUCAUUAUCACCAACACUCGUUUACUUUCCUUAUAUUUGUUUCUCACUCUCACUCACUCACUUUGUACUAAUAUUUCAUCGGAAAUCAAACUGUGUUUCUCCUCGUAAUUGUAUUGUUUAAAUCAAUACUGUCCAAGUAACCUAAAGAAAGAUUUAAUUGCCAAAUCCACCAUUAAAACUCGCACCAAGUCAAUUGAUCAUUAAACUUCAAGCAUCAAGUACUACCUUGCCCUUGACUACUGACUACCACUUCUCUACCUCAAGAUACACAACAAGUACACUUCCACCGAUUUCCCUCUCAUUGUUACUGGGAUCUCUUCUUUGUCCAAUGAUGAUAAAAAUGUUCAACUCAUUCAUACUCCAUUUAUAUACAUCAUUUAGGCCUCAGUCUGUGUAGGUAAGCACCAUUAUUGUUUCUCAUUUACAUGAUUAGAAACCAAAAUAUUAGUACAACAGAAACAGCCAUGAUUUCCAUUGCUUGUACCUUUUUAUCGAUCCAUCAAUGUUUUGAUCAUACUGAAUAACAAGCUUCAUCACUUAUGAUGUUGUUGAUGAUUAUGAUGAUGAUUUUUAGUAGGUCACUGAGAAAAAAGAAGAAAAAAUAGAUUGAAAGUAACCAUGAGAAAUAAUUGAAUUAAUCAUUUUAAAUACCGAUGUUUAGUCGUAAACAUCUCUAUUACUUUUAAUAAUCACUCAAAUGCAUCUGAGCAUCUUGAAUAUCACUUCUUGUCCUAAACAAUUGAAGUAAUGGAGAGAA
This is a non-coding RNA of Tetranychus urticae (two-spotted spider mite), 1688 nucleotides long. NCBI's taxonomy places the organism in Eukaryota, Metazoa, Arthropoda, Arachnida, Trombidiformes, Tetranychidae. The record is from RefSeq and is a predicted model, not a curated record.